Long non-coding RNA from Stegostoma tigrinum, 560 nucleotides. RefSeq lists it as uncharacterized. The transcript has 3 exons. NCBI's taxonomy places the organism in Eukaryota, Metazoa, Chordata, Chondrichthyes, Orectolobiformes, Stegostomatidae. The record is from RefSeq and is a predicted model, not a curated record.
UCCUUGUGGUAUGUCCUAAAUUAAUAGACACUUCACUGCCUAAAUGGAUGGUUCCCAUCUUCAGUCAAAGGUUUUCCAAUUUCUGUUUUUUAGUUCUCAUGAGCAGAGUUGGUUAAAUGAAAUUUUCUUAAGUCCAAGUGACAUUUUUUCUUUCCCCAAGAUUGCAUGCAGAAAUGCCUAUGAGGUCACUUUUCAGUUUUUACGACAAUCCAAAUAAGGUGGCCAGAAGGAUAAAGCAAUUUUAGGUGCUUCACCAUUCAACAGGAAAUUGGAGCUGGUGAAGAAGAGUCAAGUCACUACCUGAUGUUUAAGUGAUUUUAAUCUACUGCCUGACACAAUGAUCUUCUCCCGGACAAAUCAGGAAGGGCUGCACUUACUAUGAGAAAGCUGGAACAAGCUAAUGGGGAAGAAGAGGCAAUGACAACAAAAUGAACAAUGAAACUCUUAUCGCCAGUGCUUACUUUCCCAUCUAUGGAGGCCUAGUGGUACAGUAUGUAGCAAACCUACCUCAGUGCUGGAAGUUCUGGGUUCAACAUUCAUCCCAGUACUUGAUUACCAAG